UUAUCCAGACCAAUCACAAUACUCCUCGUUCAACCUACCAACCCCUCCACACUUUGUCAACUAUCCCCAAACAAGCUAUGCACUUCAAUGGCCAAAUUCACAAACAAAUACCAUAGAAAAUCUGGCAGCAGGGUUUAAUGACGAUGACUUCGUUAAUGAAAUCUGGACCAACUCAGCUUCACAAGUGCAAAAUGAAGUCGCUAUGGAAACUAACGAUGAUGCUGAAAUUCUUGACGAGGAUGUGGAAGAGGAAGAGGAAGAGGAAGAGCAACACCAACGACCCGUACGGAACAAAAAAGAUAAAUUAUGUGCUACGGGAGGUCAUAGUUUACAUUGGCGUAAUUGAUUUCUGCGGAG
Molecule: long non-coding RNA, 357 nt
Filed under: Medicago truncatula (barrel medic)
Lineage: Eukaryota; Viridiplantae; Streptophyta; Magnoliopsida; Fabales; Fabaceae
Description: long non-coding RNA (MTRU_LNC007102)
Source: RNAcentral